GAUGAACGCUGGCGGUGUGCCUAAUACAUGCAAGUCGUGCGGAAAGGCCCUUCGGGGUACAAGAGCGGCGAACGGGUGAGUAACGCGUGGGAAAUCUGCCGAGUAGCGGGGGACAACGUUUGGAAACGAACGCUCAUACCGCAUAACACUGAGAAUCGCAUGAUCCUUAUUUGAAAGAAGCAAUUGCUUCACUACUCGAUGAUCCCGCGUUGUAUUAGCUAGUUGGUAGUGUAAUGGACUACCAAGGCGAUGAUACAUAGCCGACCUGAGAGGGUGAUCGGCCACACUGGGACUGAGACACGGCCCAGACUCCUACGGGAGGCAGCAGUAGGGAAUCUUCGGCAAUGGGGGCAACCCUGACCGAGCAACGCCGCGUGAGUGGAGAAGGUUUUCGGGUCGUAAAACUCUGUUGUUAGAGAAGAACGUUAAGUAGAGUGGAAAAUUACUUAAGUGACGGUAUCUAACCAGAAAGGGACGGCUAACUACGUGCCAGCCGCCGCCGUAA
This 505-nucleotide ribosomal RNA is filed under the name uncultured bacterium. Its description in RNAcentral is "partial 16S ribosomal RNA". It matches the Rfam family "Bacterial small subunit ribosomal RNA", at positions 28 to 523 of the family's 1533-position model. The record is from RNAcentral.